UGGGGAAUCUUCCGCAAUGGGCGAAAGCCUGACGGAGCAACGCCGCGUGAGUGAAGACGGCCUUCGGGUUGUAAAGCUCUGUUAUAUGGGACGAACGGGUGUAUGGUCAAUACCCAUACGCCGUGACGGUACCGUAAGAGAAAGCCACGGCUAACUACGUGCCAGCAGCCGCGGUAAUACGUAGGUGGCAAGCGUUGUCCGGAAUCAUUGGGCGUAAAGGGCGCGCAGGCGGUUCGGUAAGUCGGUCUUAAAAGUGCGGGGCUUAACCCCGUGAUGGGAUUGAAACUGCCGGACUGGAGUGUCGGAGAGGAAAGCAGAAUUCCUAGUGUAGCGGUGAAAUGCGUAGAUAUUAGGAGGAAUACCAGUGGCGAAAGCGGCUUUCUGGACGACAACUGACGCUGAGGCGCGAAAGCCAGGGGAGCAAACGGGAUUAGAUACCCCGGUAGUCCUGGC
This 453-nucleotide ribosomal RNA is filed under the name uncultured bacterium. RNAcentral describes it as "partial 16S ribosomal RNA". It matches the Rfam family "Bacterial small subunit ribosomal RNA", at positions 355 to 800 of the family's 1533-position model. The record is from RNAcentral.